RNAcentral lists this ribosomal RNA (1204 nucleotides) under metagenome. RNAcentral describes it as "bacterial SSU rRNA". It matches the Rfam family "Bacterial small subunit ribosomal RNA", at positions 285 to 1498 of the family's 1533-position model. The record is from RNAcentral.
AGGGGACCUGAGAGGGUGAUCCCCCACACUGGUACUGAGACACGGACCAGACUCCUACGGGAGGCAGCAGUGAGGAAUAUUGGUCAAUGGGCGCAAGCCUGAACCAGCCAUCCCGCGUGCAGGAAGACGGCCCUAUGGGUUGUAAACUGCUUUUCUGAAGGAAGAAUAAUUCCGAGUUUUUCGGGAGAUGACGGUACUUCAGGAAUAAGCAUCGGCUAACUCCGUGCCAGCAGCCGCGGUAAUACGGAGGAUGCAAGCGUUAUCCGGAUUUAUUGGGUUUAAAGGGUGCGUAGGCGGGCUAAUAAGUCAGUGGUGAAAUCUCUCGGCUCAACCGGGAAACUGCCAUUGAUACUGUUAGUCUCGAGUUCGGUUGAGGUAGGCGGAAUGUGUAAUGUAGCGGUGAAAUGCUUAGAUAUUACACAGAACACCAAUUGCGUAGGCAGCUUACUAGACCGACACUGACGCUGAGGCACGAAAGCGUGGGGAGCGAACAGGAUUAGAUACCCUGGUAGUCCACGCCGUAAACUAUGAUUACUCGUUGUUGGCGAUACACAGUCAGCGACCAAGCGAAAGCGAUAAGUAAUCCACCUGGGGAGUACGCCCGCAAGAGUGAAACUCAAGGGAAUUGACGGGGGCCCGCACAAGCGGUGGAACAUGUGGUUUAAUUCGAUGAUACGCGAGGAACCUUACCUGGGCUUAAAUGUAGAGUGCAUAAGUGGGAAACCAUUUUUUCCUUCGGGACUCUUUACAAGGUGCUGCAUGGUUGUCGUCAGCUCGUGCCGUGAGGUGUCGGGUUAAGUCCCAUAACGAGCGCAACCCUUAUCAUUAGUUGCCAUCGGGUAAUGCCGGGGACUCUAAUGAAACUGCCACCGUAAGGUGAGAGGAAGGUGGGGAUGACGUCAAAUCAGCACGGCCCUUAUGUCCAGGGCUACACACGUGUUACAAUGGUCGGUACAGAGGGCAGCUACCUGGUGACAGGAUGCCAAUCUCUAAAGCCGGUCCAAGUUCGGAUCGAAGUCUGCAACUCGACUUCGUGAAGCUGGAAUCGCUAGUAAUCGUAUAUCAGCAAUGAUACGGUGAAUACGUUCCCGGGCCUUGUACACACCGCCCGUCAAGCCAUGGAAGCUGGGGGUGCCUGAAGUUCGUAACCGCAAGGAGCGACCUAGGGUAAAACUAGUGACUGGGGCUAAGUCGUAACAAGGUA